RNAcentral lists this ribosomal RNA (252 nucleotides) under uncultured bacterium. RNAcentral's name for it is "partial 16S ribosomal RNA". It matches the Rfam family "Bacterial small subunit ribosomal RNA", at positions 524 to 776 of the family's 1533-position model. The record is from RNAcentral.
UACAGAGGGUGCGAGCGUUAAUCGGAAUGACUGGGCGUAAAGGGCGCGUAGGCGGUUAUGUACGUGGGAUAUGAAAGACCUGGGCUUAACCUAGGAAAGUGUACCAAACGGCAAAACUGGAGUAGGGUAGAGGGUGAUGGAAUUUCCGGUGUAGCGGUGAAAUGCGUAGAGAUCGGAAGGAAGGUCGAUGGCGAAGGCAAUCACCUGGACUCAUACUGACGCUGAGGCGCGAAAGCGUGGGGAUCGAACAGG